GGUGUAGGCGGUCAGGCAAGUCGGAUGUGAAAGCCCUUGGCUCAACUGAGGAAGUGCAUUCGAAACUGCUCGACUUGAGUAUGGGAGAGGAAGGUGGAAUUCUCGGUGUAGCGGUGACAUGCGUAGAUAUCGAGAGGAACACCGGUGGCGAAGGCGGCCUUCUGGACCAAUACUGACGCUGAGACCCGAAAGCGUGGGGAGCAAACA
Molecule: ribosomal RNA, 207 nt
Filed under: uncultured bacterium
Lineage: Bacteria
Description: partial 16S ribosomal RNA
Rfam family: Bacterial small subunit ribosomal RNA
Source: RNAcentral